This 148-nucleotide signal recognition particle RNA is filed under the name Pan troglodytes (chimpanzee). RNAcentral describes it as "Metazoan signal recognition particle RNA". It matches the Rfam family "Metazoan signal recognition particle RNA". From Rfam's summary of the family: The signal recognition particle (SRP) is a universally conserved ribonucleoprotein. It is involved in the co-translational targeting of proteins to membranes. Lineage: Eukaryota; Metazoa; Chordata; Mammalia; Primates; Hominidae. The record is from Rfam by way of RNAcentral.
GCUGGGUGUGGUGGUGCACGCCUGUAGUCCCAGCUACUUAGGAAGCUGAGGCAGGAGGAUAGCUUGAACCCAGGAGGUGGAGGUUGCAGUGAGCUGAGACUGUGCCAUUGUACUCCAGCCUGGGUGACAGAGCAAGACUCUGUCUCUC